Molecule: ribosomal RNA, 1544 nt
Filed under: Candidatus Hodgkinia cicadicola
Lineage: Bacteria; Pseudomonadati; Pseudomonadota; Alphaproteobacteria; Hyphomicrobiales
Description: bacterial SSU rRNA
Rfam family: Bacterial small subunit ribosomal RNA
Source: RNAcentral
UGAGUUUGAUCCUGGCUCAGAGCUAAUGCUAGCAGCAGGCCUAACACAUGCAAGUUGAGCGGGUAAUCUGUCCAAUAUGGCGAUAGAUUGUUUAGUAGCGUACGGGUGAGUAAUAUAUAAGUGUUUGCCUUGUUCUAUGAGAUAACAUAGGGUGACCUGUGAUAAUAUCAUAUGAUUCCUGUAUCAGGUAAAGAAUUAUUGGAACAAAAUGAGCUUAUAUUUAGAUUAGCUAGUUGGUAAGGGUAAGAGCCUACCUAGGCAAUGAUCUAUAGCUGGUCUGGGAGGACGAACAGCCACAUUGGGACUGAGAUAAGGCCCAGACUCCUUUGGGGGGCAGCAGUGAGGAAUAUUGGACAAUGGGCGCAAGCCUGAUCCAGCUAUGUUGCGUGAGUGAUGACAGUUCCAUAUAAACAUGCUAAGGCACGUUGAAUUGUAAAACUCUUUUAUCAAUGUUCAUAGUGAUAUAAUUGAUGAAUAAGCUCCGGCCAACUCCGUGCCAGCAGCCGCGGUAAUACGGGGGGAGCAAGUGUUGCUCAGUUUAACUGGGCGUAAAGCGCACUAAGGCUGUUUUAUAAGUUAAUAAUCAAACCUUGAAGCUUAACUUCAUGUUGUUAUUAAUACUGUUUAACUAGAAUGCAGUAGGGGUGAACAGAAUUCCAAGUGUAGAGGUUAAAUUCGUUGAUAUUUGGAGGACUACCGGAGGCGAAGGCGGUUCACUAUUCUGUUAUUGACGCUUAUUGUGCGAAAGCGUGGGUAGCAAACAGGAUUAGAUACCCUGGUAGUCCACGCUGUAAACGAUGAGUGCUAGCAGUUAAAGCAUCCUAUAUGGCUUUGAUUGCACAGCUAACGCGUUAAGCACUCCGCCAGGGUAGUACGGUCGCAAGAUUGAAACCCAAAGGAAUUGACGGAGGCCCGUACAAGCGGUGGAGCAUGUGGUUUAAUUCGAAACUACACGAAGAAUCUUACCAGCCCUUGACAUUUUAGGCUAUGAACUGUUUAAUUAAAGUUAAACGGUGUUUCUUCCUUCCCCUCCCUAAAAAAAAGAGAGGGGGCGAGAUAAGCCUUUAACAGGUGCUGCAUGGCUGUCGUCAGCUUGUGUCGUGAGAUGUAUGGUUAGCUCCCAUAACGAGCGCAACCCUUGCCCUUAGUUGCUUAAAGUAAUAAAACCAGCUCUCUAAGGGGACUGCUAAUUUAAAGUUAGAGGAAGGCGAGGAUAACGUCAAGUCAUCAUGGCCCUUAUGGGCUGGGCUACACACGUGCUACAAUGGCAACCACAGAGAGUCGCAAUGCCGCGAGGCUGAGCAAAUCUUUUAAAAGUUGUCUAAGUUCAGAUUGCACCUCUGUAAUUCGAGUGCAUGAAGUUGGAAUCGCUAGUAAUCGCGGAUCAGCAUGCCGCGGUGAAUACGUUCUCGGGCCUAGUACACACUGCCCGUCACGCCAUGGGAGCCAGCUUUGCUUUAAGCCUAUGCAUUAGCAAAGGUAAUAGCAGAACAGGUGACUGGGGCGAAGUCGUAACAAGGUAGCCGUAGGUGAACCUGUGGCUG